This is a non-coding RNA of Miniopterus natalensis, 456 nucleotides long. Lineage: Eukaryota; Metazoa; Chordata; Mammalia; Chiroptera; Miniopteridae. The record is from the annotation of a RefSeq genome assembly.
AUGCUGCCCAAACUAGAGAUCUUGUGGAUCAGUAGCAUCAGCUCAGCUCCUCCUCCCUGCAGCUGGCUGAGUGCUUUGCAGACAGAGACAGGAGACUCCAGAGCCCAGUCAGUGACCCAGCCUGACAAUCACAUCAGUGUCUCUGAAAGAGCCCCACUGGAGUUGAAAUGCAAAUAUUCCUAUGAUGCUGUUACUGCUCUCUACUGGUAUGUGCAAUACCCCAGCCAAGGCCUCCAGCUUCUCCUCAAGCACUUUUUAACAGACACCCUGGUUCAAGGCAUUAAAGGCUUUGAGGCUGAAUUUAAGAAGAGUGAAUCUUCCUUCAACCUGAAGAAAUCCUCGGCCCAUUUGAGCGACUCAGCUGUGUACUUCUGUGCUCUGAGUGACACAGUGUUUGAGACUGCAGGGGGAGCUGAACAUAAACCACUCAUGGCAGUGGAGUUUUCAGAGACUUGA